CCAGGUCUGUAGUAUACUGUAGUCCAGGUCAGCAGCUAGGUCUGUAGUAUACUGUAGUCCAGGUCAGCAGCUAGGUCUGUAGUAUACUGUAGUCCAGGUCAGCAGCUAGGUCUGUAG
Molecule: long non-coding RNA, 117 nt
Organism: Coregonus clupeaformis (lake whitefish)
Lineage: Eukaryota; Metazoa; Chordata; Actinopteri; Salmoniformes; Salmonidae
Exons: 3
Source: RefSeq, a predicted model, not a curated record